Molecule: ribosomal RNA, 253 nt
Filed under: uncultured bacterium
Lineage: Bacteria
Description: partial 16S ribosomal RNA
Rfam family: Bacterial small subunit ribosomal RNA
Source: RNAcentral
UACAGAGGUGGCAAGCGUUGUUCGGAAUUACUGGGCGUAAAGGGCGCGUAGGCGGCUUGGUCAGUCCCGUGUGAAAUCCCUGGGCUCAACCCAGGAACUGCGUCCGAUACUGGUUGGCUUGAAUCCGGGAGAGGGAUGCGGAAUUCCAGGUGUAGCGGUGAAAUGCGUAGAUAUCUGGAGGAACACCGGUGGCGAAGGCGGCAUCCUGGACCGGCAUUGACGCUGAGGCGCGAAAGCGUGGGUAGCAAACAGG